Molecule: ribosomal RNA, 301 nt
Filed under: uncultured bacterium
Lineage: Bacteria
Description: partial 16S ribosomal RNA
Rfam family: Bacterial small subunit ribosomal RNA
Source: RNAcentral
CAGUCGCCACGGUAAUACGAAGGGGCUAGCGUUGCUCGGAAUGACUGGGCGUAAAGGGCGCGUAGGCGGCGAUCAAAGUCAGGCGUGAAAUUCCUGGGCUCAACCUGGGGGCUGCGUUUGAUACUUGAUUGCUAGAGUGGGGAAGAGGGUCGUGGAAUUCCCAGUGUAGAGGUGAAAUUCGUAGAUAUUGGGAAGAACACCGGUGGCGAAGGCGGCUCACUGGCUCGAUACUGACGCUGAGGUGCGAAAGCGUGGGGAGCAAACAGGAUUAGAUACCCGAGUAGUCCCUGUCUCUUAUACC